AACGCUAGCGGGAGGCCUAACACAUGCAAGUCGAACGGGAUUGAGAGCUUGCUCUCAUGAGAGUGGCGCACGGGUGAGUAACGCGUAUGCAACCUACCUAUAACUGAGGGAUAGCCCAUAGAAAUGUGGAUUAAUACCUCAUAGUUCUUUUGAUCCGCAUGGAUUAAAAGAUAAAGCUCCGGCGGUUAUAGAUGGGCAUGCGUGACAUUAGCUAGUUGGUAAGGUAACGGCUUACCAAGGCUACGAUGUCUAGGGGUUCUGAGAGGAUGAUCCCCCACACUGGUACUGAGACACGGACCAGACUCCUACGGGAGGCAGCAGUGAGGAAUAUUGGUCAAUGGGCGCAAGCCUGAACCAGCCAUCCCGCGUGCAGGAUGAAGGCCCUAUGGGUCGUAAACUGCUUUUAUACACCAAGAAAAACACCCA
This 426-nucleotide ribosomal RNA is filed under the name uncultured bacterium. RNAcentral describes it as "bacterial SSU rRNA". It matches the Rfam family "Bacterial small subunit ribosomal RNA", at positions 32 to 458 of the family's 1533-position model. The record is from RNAcentral.